This 76-nucleotide transfer RNA is filed under the name Candidatus Amesiibacteriota bacterium. RNAcentral describes it as "Candidatus Amesbacteria bacterium (hot springs metagenome) tRNA-Val". It matches the Rfam family "tRNA". From Rfam's summary of the family: Transfer RNA (tRNA) molecules are approximately 80 nucleotides in length. Lineage: Bacteria; Candidatus Amesiibacteriota. The record is from RNAcentral.
GGGCGGUUGGCUCAGCUGGUAGAGCGCCUCUCUUACACAGAGGAGGUCAAAGGUUCGACUCCUUUACCGCCCACUA